AUUGAACGCUGGCGGCAUGCCUUACACAUGCAAGUCGAACGGUAACAGGUCUUCGGAUGCUGACGAGUGGCGAACGGGUGAGUAAUACAUCGGAACGUGCCUAGUAGUGGGGGAUAACUACUCGAAAGAGUGGCUAAUACCGCAUGAGAUCUACGGAUGAAAGCAGGGGAUCGCAAGACCUUGUGCUACUAGAGCGGCCGAUGGCAGAUUAGGUAGUUGGUGGGAUAAAAGCUUACCAAGCCGACGAUCUGUAGCUGGUCUGAGAGGACGAUCAGCCACACGUGCACUGAGACAAGGCCCAGAGUCAUCCAGGAGGCAGGAGUGGGGAAUUUUGGACAAUGGGCGGGAGCCUGAUCCAGCAAUGCCGCGUGCAGGAUGAAGGCCUUCGGGUUGUAAACUGCUUUUGUACGGAACGAAAAGCCCCGGGUUAAUGCCCUGGGGUCAGGACGGUACCGUAAGAAUAAGCACCGGCUAACUACGUGCCAGCCGCCGCAGUAA
This 498-nucleotide ribosomal RNA is filed under the name uncultured bacterium. Its description in RNAcentral is "partial 16S ribosomal RNA". It matches the Rfam family "Bacterial small subunit ribosomal RNA", at positions 30 to 523 of the family's 1533-position model. The record is from RNAcentral.